This 394-nucleotide ribosomal RNA is filed under the name uncultured Thauera sp. RNAcentral's name for it is "bacterial SSU rRNA". It matches the Rfam family "Bacterial small subunit ribosomal RNA", at positions 989 to 1382 of the family's 1533-position model. Lineage: Bacteria; Pseudomonadati; Pseudomonadota; Betaproteobacteria; Rhodocyclales; Zoogloeaceae. The record is from RNAcentral.
UCUGGAACCUUGGUGAGAGCCGAGGUGCCUUCGGGAGCCAGAACACAGGUGCUGCAUGGCUGUCGUCAGCUCGUGUCGUGAGAUGUUGGGGUUAAAGUCCCGCAACGAGCGCAACCCUUGUCACUAGUUGCCAUCAUUUAGUUGGGCACUCUAGUGAGACUGCCGGUGACAAACCGGGAGGAAGGUGGGGAUGACGUCAAGUCCUCAUGGCCCUUAUGGGUAGGGCUUCACACGUCAUACAAUGGUCGGUACAGAGGGUUGCCAAGCCGCGAGGUGGAGCCAAUCCCUUAAAGCCGAUCGUAGUCCGGAUCGUAGUCUGCAACUCGACUACGUGAAGUCGGAAUCGCUAGUAAUCGCAGGUCAGCAUACUGCGGUGAAUACGUUCCCGGGCCUU